AGAGUUUGAUCCUGGCUCAGGAUAAACGCUGGCGGCGUGCCUAAUACAUGCAAGUCGGACGAAGGAUUUUUGUAGCAAUACGAAAAUUCUUAGUGGCGAAUGGGUGAGUAACGCGUUGGUGACCUGCCCCGAAGCGGGGAAUAACUCCGGGAAACUGGAGCUAAUACCGCAUGUGGUCAUACGAACCAGAACAGUAUGUCUAAAGGACUUCGGUUCGCUUCGGGAGGGGCCUGCGUUCCAUCAGCUAGUUGGUAGGGUAAUGGCCUACCAAGGCGACGACGGAUAGGGGGCCUGAGAGGGUGGCCCCCCACACUGGCACUGAAACACGGGCCAGACACCUACGGGUGGCAGCAGUAGGGAAUAUUGCACAAUGGGCGAAAGCCUGAUGCAGCAACGCCGCGUGCGCGAUGAAGGCCUUCGGGUUGUAAAGCGUUUUUCUGAAGGAAGAGGAAGGACGGUACUUCAGGAAUAAGGAUCGGCUAACUACGUGCCAGCAGCCGCGGUAAUACGUAGGAUCCGAGCGUUAUCCGAAUUUACUGGGCGUAAAGCGCGUGUAGGCGGUUUGGUAAGUUGGAUGUGAAAGCUCCCGGCUCAACUGGGAGAGGCCGUUCAAAACUACCAGACUAGAGGACGGUAGAGGGAGGUGGAAUUCCCGGUGUAGUAGUGAAAUGCGUAGAUAUCGGGAGGAACACCAGUGGCGAAAGCGGCCUCCUGGACCGUUCCUGACGCUCAGACGCGAAAGCUAGGGGAGCAAACGGGAUUAGAAACCCCGGUAGUCCUAGCUGUAAACGAUGUAGACUUGGCGUCGGUGGGGUAAAAUCCAUCGGUGCCGUAGCUAACGCGAUAAGUCUACCGCCUGGGGACUACGGCCGCAAGGUUAAAACUCAAAGGAAUUGACGGGUCCCCGCACAAGCAGCGGAGCGUGUGGUUUAAUUCGUUGCUACGCGAAAAACCUUACCCAGGUUUGACAUAUAGGUGGUAGGAAGCCGAGAGGUGACCGACCCUUCGGGGAGCCUAUACAGGUGCUGCAUGGCUGUCGUCAGCUCGUGUCGUGAGAUGUNNAACGAGCGCAACCCUCGUCGUAUGUUACAUGUGUCAUACGAGACCGCUGGUAUAAAGCCGGAGGAAGGUGAGGAUGACGUCAAGUCAGCAUGGCCUUUAUAUCUGGGGCUACACACACGCUACAAUGGUCGGUACAAUGGGUCGCAAAGCCGCAAGGUGGAGCCAAUCCUCAAAGCCGGCCUCAGUUCAGAUUGUAGGCUGCAACCCGCCUACAUGAAGUCGGAGUUGCUAGUAAACGCGCGUCAGCAUUAGUGCGUUGAAUACGUUCCCGGGGAUUGUACACACCGCCCGUCACGUCAUGGGAGCUGGCAACACCUGAAGCCGGUAUUCUAACCCGCAAGGGAGGAAGCUGUCUAAGGUGGGGCUGGUGACUGGGACGAAGUCGUAACAAGGUAGGUGUACCGGAAGGUGCGCCUG
Molecule: ribosomal RNA, 1479 nt
Filed under: Anaerolineales bacterium UBA6092
Lineage: Bacteria; Bacillati; Chloroflexota; Anaerolineae; Anaerolineales
Description: bacterial SSU rRNA
Rfam family: Bacterial small subunit ribosomal RNA
Source: RNAcentral